GAUGAAGAACGCAGCGAAAUGCGAUAAGUAAUGUGAAUUGCAGAAUUCAGUGAAUCAUCGAAUCUUUGAACGCACAUUGCGCCCGCCAGUAUUCUGGCGGGCAUGCCUGUCUGAGCGUCAUUUCAACCCUCAUGCCCCUAGGGCGUGGUGUUGGGGAUCGGCCAAAGCCCGCGAGGGACGGCCGGCUCAUAAAUCUAGUGGCGGACCCGUCGUGGCCUCCUCUGCGAAGUAGUGAUAUUCCGCAUCGGAGAGCGAUGAGCCCCUGCCGUUAAACCCCCAACUUUCCAAGGUUGACCUCAGAUCAGGUAGGAAUACCCGCUGAACUUAAGCAUAUCAAUAAGCGGAGGA
This 348-nucleotide unclassified non-coding RNA is filed under the name soil metagenome. Its description in RNAcentral is "partial contains 5.8S ribosomal RNA, internal transcribed spacer 2, and large subunit ribosomal RNA". The stretch from base 1 to 120 matches the Rfam family "5.8S ribosomal RNA", at positions 35 to 154 of the family's 154-position model. The record is from RNAcentral.